RNAcentral lists this small RNA (125 nucleotides) under Marmota monax (woodchuck). The record is from RNAcentral. Lineage: Eukaryota; Metazoa; Chordata; Mammalia; Rodentia; Sciuridae.
GCCGGGCGUGGUGGCGCACGCCUGUAAUCCCAGAGGCUUGGGAGGCUGAGACAGGAGAAUCACAAGUUCAAAGCAAGCCUCAGCAACUACAAGGCACUAAGCAACUCAGUGAGACCCCGUCUCUA